GUCAAUAUUGAUUAUUCCAAAAAUGUUUAAUUCUCCAAUUGCCAACAAUGAGCUAUUUCAGGAAAUCGUGUUUACUUUAGAAGAUCAUGAAGCCCAAGUUUUUCUUCUUCUUUUCAAUCUGCAAGAAUGAUCAAAGAAAAUAAGCAUGGAUUAUAGUGUUCAAAAGUUUAUGCCCUUAUUUAUGUCAUUUUUAUGGAAAUUAGGCAAGUUAAAUCAUCCAAUCAAAUAAAAUUAAAUAUUAUAUUACUUAAACUCUUCAAGAAUGUUGUACAUUCGUGCCAAAUUAUCUAAAAAGUUAUUAUUUUUAGAGAAUUUGACAUACAACGAACAACACUUUUGAAGAAUUCAAGUAACAUUGGAAAAAAACUUUUGAUUAAAUGAGUUCCCUUAUAAACUUCACCCUUAUUGUUCUUGUGAGUUCUUAUGCUUGUGUGUUACACAUAAACAUGUAUUGGUGUUUAUAAGCCAAAAGUUCAUGAGAAGCAUAAUGUAAUUUAGUAUUAAAUUUUAUGUAUUGCAUUGUGUAAU
Long non-coding RNA from Solanum tuberosum (potato), 528 nucleotides. RefSeq lists it as uncharacterized. The transcript is spliced from 2 exons. NCBI's taxonomy places the organism in Eukaryota, Viridiplantae, Streptophyta, Magnoliopsida, Solanales, Solanaceae. The record is from RefSeq and is a predicted model, not a curated record.